UGGAUGAUGUGGAAGAAUUUGAGCAAUAUGACUCGGGUACUUUGGAGUCAAGCUCAUCUUCAACUUCAACCUAUAAUGUUGAUGCUAUAAUUGAUGUCUAAUAUCCAUUUGCUCAUUGGGUUCAUCAACCAAAUGCAUGGAAUUAGAAUUGGAAUUGGAAUUGGAAUUUGUGAAAGUUGAAUUGGAUGUGAUUUAUGAAGAUGAAGUUUGAUAUCUUAGAAAUGUUUUAAUUUUAUUUCAUGGGUUUGUAUUGAAUGAAGUUUGACAACAAUUUUUUUUUUUUAAUUGCGUUUUGGUUUUGGAUGAAUGUAAGUUAAUGAAUUAUUAUUU
Camellia sinensis is the source of this 330-nucleotide long non-coding RNA. RefSeq lists it as uncharacterized. NCBI's taxonomy places the organism in Eukaryota, Viridiplantae, Streptophyta, Magnoliopsida, Ericales, Theaceae. The record is from RefSeq and is a predicted model, not a curated record.